CAGUAGCCGCGGUAAUACGAAGGGUGCAAGCGUUAAUCGGAAUUACUGGGCGUAAAGCGUGCGUAGGCGGUGAGUUAAGUCUGCUGUGAAAUCCCGGGGCUCAACCUGGGAAUGGCAGUGGAUACUGGCUCGCUAGAGUGUGUCAGAGGAUGGUGGAAUUCCCGGUGUAGCGGUGAAAUGCGUAGAGAUGUGGAGGAACACCGAUGGCGAAGGCAGCCCCCUGGGCCAAUACUGACGCUCAUGCACGAAAGCGUGGGGAGCAAACAGGAUUAGAUACCCGCGUAGUCCCUGUCUCUUAUAC
Molecule: ribosomal RNA, 301 nt
Filed under: uncultured bacterium
Lineage: Bacteria
Description: partial 16S ribosomal RNA
Rfam family: Bacterial small subunit ribosomal RNA
Source: RNAcentral